UGCCAGCAGCCGCGGUAAGACGGAGGGUGCAAACGUUGUUCGGAAUCACUGGGCAUAAAGCGCACGCAGGCGGCCACCUAAGUCAGAUGUGAAAGCCCACGGCUCAACCGUGGAACUGCAUUUGAUACUGGGUGGCUAGAGUACGGUUGGGGUGAGUGGAACUCCUGGUGGAGCGGUGAAAUGCGUAGAUAUCAGGAGGAACACCAGUGGCGAAAGCGGCUCACUGGACCGUAACUGACGCUGAGGUGCGAAAGCUAGGGUAGCGAACGGGAUUAGAUA
Molecule: ribosomal RNA, 279 nt
Filed under: uncultured bacterium
Lineage: Bacteria
Description: partial 16S ribosomal RNA
Rfam family: Bacterial small subunit ribosomal RNA
Source: RNAcentral